UUUAUGGAGAGUUUGAUCCUGGCUCAGGAUGAACGCUGGCGGCGUGCCUAAUACAUGCAAGUCGAGCGAACAGAUAAGGAGCUUGCUCCUUUGACGUUAGCGGCGGACGGGUGAGUAACACGUGGAUAACCUACCUAUAAGACUGGGAUAACUUCGGGAAACCGGAGCUAAUACCGGAUAACAUAUUGAACCGCAUGGUUCAAUAGUGAAAGGCGGCUUUGCUGUCACUUAUAGAUGGAUCCGCGCCGUAUUAGCUAGUUGGUAAGGUAACGGCUUACCAAGGCAACGAUACGUAGCCGACCUGAGAGGGUGAUCGGCCACACUGGAACUGAGACACGGUCCAGACUCCUACGGGAGGCAGCAGUAGGGAAUCUUCCGCAAUGGGCGAAAGCCUGACGGAGCAACGCCGCGUGAGUGAUGAAGGUCUUCGGAUCGUAAAACUCUGUUAUCAGGGAAGAACAAAUGUGUAAGUAACUGUGCACAUCUUGACGGUACCUGAUCAGAAAGCCACGGCUAACUACGUGCCAGCAGCCGCGGUAAUACGUAGGUGGCAAGCGUUAUCCGGAAUUAUUGGGCGUAAAGCGCGCGUAGGCGGUUUUUUAAGUCUGAUGUGAAAGCCCACGGCUCAACCGUGGAGGGUCAUUGGAAACUGGAAAACUUGAGUGCAGAAGAGGAAAGUGGAAUUCCAUGUGUAGCGGUGAAAUGCGCAGAGAUAUGGAGGAACACCAGUGGCGAAGGCGACUUUCUGGUCUG
RNAcentral lists this ribosomal RNA (753 nucleotides) under Listeria monocytogenes. RNAcentral's name for it is "bacterial SSU rRNA". It matches the Rfam family "Bacterial small subunit ribosomal RNA", at positions 1 to 736 of the family's 1533-position model. The record is from RNAcentral. Lineage: Bacteria; Bacillati; Bacillota; Bacilli; Caryophanales; Listeriaceae.